UUUAAAGGGAGCCGUUUGUGUUGUUUAUCUCCCACUAGAGGAGAGAGCUGAAAUCAGCAUAAAUCAUGUACUCUACAUCAUUACUGCUGCUUUUGGCAGCAAUGACCUGUGUGGAAUGUAAUAUUGUCCUCACUCAGCCAAACUCUAUAGUUCUGCAGCCGGGACAAUCAUUUACUCUCACAUGUGAGGUGUCUGGAUAUUCUGUUACCGACAAUAGCUACGCGACAGCCUGGAUACGACAUCCUGCAGGAAAAGCUCUGGAGUGGAUUGUGCACAUAUGGGGAGGUGGAGGCAUAACCAAAAAAGACUCACUGGCAAACAAGUUCAGUAUCUCCAAAAGUGACUCCAGCAGCACAGUGACUCUUAAUGGAAAAAAUCUACAGACUGAGGACACAGCUGUGUAUUACUGUGCCAGACGACCACAACAUGAGAAAACAGCACAAGCACUGUACAUGAACUACUAUAGUCAACAUCCUUUCUGUUUCUACAAAAAAAAAAAAAAUCUCAUUCAUGACUUUAUAACCACCAUUAUAUUAUCACUCAUGUAUUAAGUAUGACACUUAAAG
Molecule: non-coding RNA, 566 nt
Organism: Megalobrama amblycephala (Wuchang bream)
Lineage: Eukaryota; Metazoa; Chordata; Actinopteri; Cypriniformes; Xenocyprididae
Source: the annotation of a RefSeq genome assembly